UAUACCGUGAAACUGCGAAUGGCUCAUUAAAUCAGUUAUCGUUUAUUUGAUAAUACCUUACUACUUGGAUAACCGUGGUAAUUCUAGAGCUAAUACAUGCUGAAAAUCCCGACUUCGGAAGGGAUGUGUUUAUUAGAUAAAAAACCAAUGCCCUUCGGGGCUCCUUGGUGAUUCAUGAUAACUUUACGGAUCGCAUAGCCUUGCGCUGGCGACGGUUCAUUCAAAUUUCUGCCCUAUCAACUUUCGAUGGUAAGGUAUUGGCUUACCAUGGUUUCAACGGGUAACGGGGAAUUAGGGUUCGAUUCCGGAGAGGCAGCCUGAGAAACGGCUACCACAUCCAAGGAAGGCAGCAGGCGCGCAAAUUACCCAAUCCCGACACGGGGAGGUAGUGACAAUAAAUACUGAUACAGGGCUCUUUUGGGUCUUGUAAUUGGAAUGAGUACAAUUUAAACCUCUUAACGAGGAACAAUUGGAGGGCAAGUCUGGUGCCAGCAGCCGCGGUAAUUCCAGCUCCAAUAGCGUAUAUUAAAGUUGUUGCAGUUAAAAAGCUCGUAGUUGAAACUUGGGCCUGGCUGGCGGGUCCGCCUCACCGCGUGCACUCGUCCGGCCGGGCCUUCCUUCUGAAGAACCUCAUGCCCUUCACUGGGCGUGCUGGGGAAUCAGGACUUUUACUUUGAAAAAAUUAGAGUGUUCAAAGCAGGCCUUUGCUCGAAUACGUUAGCAUGGAAUAAUAAAAUAGGGCGUGCGUUUCUAUUUUGUUGGUUUCUAGAGACGCCGCAAUGAUUAACAGGAACAGUCGGGGGCAUCAGUAUUCAGUUGUCAGAGGUGAAAUUCUUGGAUUUACUGAAGACUAACUACUGCGAAAGCAUUUGCCAAGGAUGUUUUCAUUAAUCAGUGAACGAAAGUUAGGGGAUCGAAGACGAUCAGAUACCGUCGUAGUCUUAACCGUAAACUAUGCCGACUAGGGAUCGGGCGAUGUUCUUUUUCUGACUCGCUCGGCACCUUACGAGAAAUCAAAGU
This 1020-nucleotide ribosomal RNA is filed under the name Alternaria obclavata. RNAcentral's name for it is "SSU rRNA". It matches the Rfam family "Eukaryotic small subunit ribosomal RNA", at positions 75 to 1104 of the family's 1831-position model. The record is from RNAcentral. Lineage: Eukaryota; Fungi; Ascomycota; Dothideomycetes; Pleosporales; Pleosporaceae.